This 493-nucleotide ribosomal RNA is filed under the name uncultured bacterium. Its description in RNAcentral is "partial 16S ribosomal RNA". It matches the Rfam family "Bacterial small subunit ribosomal RNA", at positions 29 to 523 of the family's 1533-position model. The record is from RNAcentral.
AUUGAACGCUGGCGGCAUGCUUUACACAUGCAAGUCGAACGGUAACAGGUUAAGCUGACGAGUGGCGAACGGGUGAGUAAUGCAUCGGAACGUGCCCGAUCGUGGGGGAUAACGCAGCGAAAGCUGCGCUAAUACCGCAUACGAUCUGAGGAUGAAAGCGGGGGACCGUAAGGCCUCGCGCGAUCGGAGCGGCCGAUGUCAGAUUAGGUAGUUGGAGGGGUAAAGGCCCAACAAGCCGACGAUCUGUAGCUGGUCUGAGAGGACGACCAGCCACACUGGGACUGAGACACGGCCCAGACUCCUACGGGAGGCAGCAGUGGGGAAUUUUGGACAAUGGGCGAAAGCCUGAUCCAGCAAUGCCGCGUGCAGGAAGAAGGCCUUCGGGUUGUAAACUGCUUCUGUACGGAGCGAAGAGGUCCUUUCUAAUACAAGGGGCUCAUGACGGUACCGUAAGAAUAAGCACCGGCUAACUACGUGCCAGCCGCCGCCGUAA